Long non-coding RNA from Triticum aestivum (bread wheat), 3545 nucleotides. RefSeq lists it as uncharacterized. The record is from RefSeq and is a predicted model, not a curated record. Lineage: Eukaryota; Viridiplantae; Streptophyta; Magnoliopsida; Poales; Poaceae. The transcript is spliced from 3 exons.
UGGCCCAAAAAAGACGCGCACGCGCCGGCCCUCCAUCAGAUAGCGCCGCCGCCCCCAAAUCGACCCCCAAAUCCUUCGUGCCCUCCACCAGACACCGCCGUCGCCGCCCCCAACCAGACCGCCGCCGCCGUCGCCCCCAACCGUCCCAUCCGCCCUAACCAUCCCGCCGCCGCCGAACGCCCUCCACCCGGAGCACUUGCGCCGUCGCCCCAAACCACGCCAGAGCGGCGGCGCCAAGCACCGAAUUGACCGCAGCCGCCAACCACUCCAGAUCCAAGCCGGCGGCCGCCCUCCACCCAGACCACUGCCGCCCCCCUCCCCAACCACUCCAGAGCGGCGCCACCGAGCCGCCACUCCAGACCGCAAGCGGCGACCACCCUCCUCCGCCGAAUGUCUUCCCUCACCACCACCCAUCUCGCGAGCUUCCUCCCCGACCAGGCCUCCUCCCCACAAGCUUCACCGGAGAACCAAGCGGGGACCCCUCCUCUACGUCCUCUACCCCAGGCAGCGGAGCGUCGACCCUCCUCGCGAGCAGCUCUGCCUUUCCCUGGACACCGCUGCCUUCUCUACUUCCUUGCUCCAACCACGAGAAUUUGACAGGGGAGUGGAGUUUGGGGGGCGUGCGUUCCGGCCGGCCCCUGGUUGUGCGAUGCCAGAUCUGCGCGGGAUGUCGGCGAGCGGCUGGUGCCAGGCCUAGUGUGCCGCUGCCUGCUGCAGCCAUGAGAAAUAGCGUGCUACUACAUGCUCGUGCCGGCUACAUGGAUUGUUCGUAUUCUUAGUGGGCUAUGCUUUGAUGCAUAGGUAAAAUUAAAAGUGCCAAAAACCUGGGUGCCCAUGGCCUAGUUUGGCCCCAACAAAGCUCCCCCCCUGGUUAGCAAACAAUAAAUAGGUUUGCUUUGAUGGUGUACUGAAGAUUACAAGUAUUGUAGAUAAUACACUUUGUUCAUUUCAAGUAUUAGUUAAUUAAUUGUUUCUGCUUCACAUUGCUCGAAGACUUGCGAAGCAGUUUUAUGUGUUCUGUAGGGGUGGUAUGCAUCUCUUAUUUUAUUUCUCGGAAAUAAAGGCUAAGAAUAUGACUAUCUGCAUGUCCUACCAAAUCAUUAUGCCUUCCAACAUUAAGCAAAGUGUAUGAGGCCUAGACUUUGAAUAUUUCCUAUAUUUGAUGGUAGAGUUGUAGCAACUUCCCAGAUUUCUCAAUAUCAUGUCCAAUAGUGUUUAUAGUCUUUCUUUCAUAGAUUUUUACUCACACUUUAAAAGUGUUAUUAACCAAAUUUAUGCGAGCUUAAUGGAGCAUUUGAGUUACACCAAAAUGUCCAAUAGCAAUGGAUUCUGUACAUUGAUAAAAGUCAACAUAUUGCCGGUUAAAUCUGUUUUCACCAAAAUGGUAGAAUUAUAUGUUACACUGUGCGCAUCAUAAUAUUUAGAUUUCUAUAUGCCUUUAACUACAUUGACUUUGUCAAAACAAUAUUCUGCACUAGAAACAGUACAAGAUAUCUCUGAGUCAACUUAUGUAUGCAGAUUGUUAAUAUGAGGCGAAAAACUUUAUCUCAAGUUAUUAUAUGACCUUAGUUACUGCAGUUUUCAGUAUGGUUGCUCUUGCCAGUCGACUUAGCUUAGCCUCCAUUUCUGAAUGUUUUGAAUUGAUUUCUCUUCCUGUGUUUGUCGCUCUUCCUAUUUCCAUUCCCGAUGCCAUAGUAAUAUAUAAUUGUUUCUGAUGAAUAUAAGACAUUCAGUGUGCUUAAGGACAUGGGCGAAAUCAAGUAUAAUUUUAAGAGGAGCAUUUAUGAGAUCGAGCAGCUACAUGAUUUCUCAAUGCAAAGCUCCUACCUGUGUUUGUGCACUUAUUCUUCCAAUAUAUUCUUAGGAUAUGCCUAACUACAGUGUGACAGCUCCUACCUGUGUUUGUGCACUUAUUCUUCCAAUAUAUUCUUAGGAUAUGCCUAACUACAGCUUUGUCACAUGGAUUCCUCCUUAUUUUGUUAUCAACUCACUUGAACUCAAAGUGGUCGGACCCUUCCCCGGACCCUGCGCAAGCGGGAGCUAUAUGCACCGGGCUGCCCUUUUUUUUUGUUAAUGUUACUGACUUGAAUUGUUUCUAUACCUCAUUCUCAACUAUAUGCUCUAGAUUAUUAUGUUAUAGUUUAAAAUUCAAAUAUAAAGAUAAUUACAAUUGUGAUCUGAUUCACAACCUAUAUACAGGAACCUGCACCAUUUUAGUCCAUUUUAAUCUGUAUCCAUUUUAGUAAACAACAAAGUUAGGCAAAAUGGGAAUACAGAGGAAAAAUGAAAUAGCCCACCUAAAGAUUUCCCCGUAACCAUUUUGAUUUGUAUAAGUGGUAAUUUAACCUUCCAGUAUGCAGAUAUUGUGACUUCACUUAGGAUGGCAGAUCUCAGGCUCCUUAAGCAAGCCCUUGAUAGACAUGAAGACCACUAAGUUCACAUAUUUGUGUCCUGAAAAAGUUUCGGCCCUCUGCUGUCACUGAUUGCGUCCUACUUUUUUGUACAGGGACACUGGUUGCUUUGCAUGGACACUGAUUGCUUAUUUCUCUUGCAGCGUUACUAAAAUGCGGUGUCUACCUUGUGUUGGACAAACUUGAACUCCAGGUUUACCGGAGAUUAGUGAAGAAAAUCCAUAUCAUCCAGAGGGAGAAGGAACCAUCUAAGGCAAAUCAAAUCAAGCUAGAGGUCUCUGCAACCAUUUUAGUCGAGUAGCAGUUUUGCAAAAGGUGACCGUGGCAAACAUUUUAUCCUGUUACAAGCACAUUAGAUGAAAUGGCGUUUAUUGUUGGUGGCUUAUUUGUAUGCCUAACAAGUUGGGUGCUUUUCUUCAGGGUAUGUCAUAACCUCAACCUUUAGGUUACUAUAAACAAGUUUAGAACGACAAGAAUAUCAAAUUAUAACUUUUUACUGUUUUGUUACUAUAACUGGAAUGGAAUGAGCUGUGUACGUUAGCCUGAUUCAAAUCCUUUUCAUCUCCAAUGAACGAUCUGUGUACAACAUCAGCCUUCAUUCAAACUCCAUUUACUGAAUAAUUUCACAGCGUGUUCUGCUACAGCCAACGCCCAACAGCAAGGCAAACAAAGAAGGCAUUAAAACACUUGUCCUUAUGUGAUGUAAAAAUUGCAUUUUAUUGUGCUUCCAGUACUAGUUGCAUGUUCAUAUGUUACAACAGGUUUAUUAAGCUAUGAGAGCUCCAUUUUGAGUUUCCGUUCUGUUGCAGGUUUCCCAAAGAUACACUACUUGAUGGAGAUUUGGAUGAUCUACAAGCUGCUGAAGGUUUGCAAGAUCAACUAUUAAGUUGGUGGAGUGAUAAUGUAAUGCGCCUUGUUUGGUGAACUUGGAGACAUUGGCAAGUUCUGCUCAUUUUGGUGGUUGUUUUGGCACAUAGGCCACUAUAUGGCCAUUUUGGUUGCGUGACACAUUUAGAAACAUAUAUACUUCUCCCUUUGUGGAACUACUUCAUUUUGGUUGUGUGGCACGUGUAUCUAGAAACAUUUAUGUACUCUUUUUGUGGCACAAUCUGCUUAUAUACGUUCUUAUGUUUA